Long non-coding RNA from Peromyscus californicus insignis, 922 nucleotides. RefSeq lists it as uncharacterized. The transcript is spliced from 2 exons. Lineage: Eukaryota; Metazoa; Chordata; Mammalia; Rodentia; Cricetidae. The record is from RefSeq and is a predicted model, not a curated record.
CUUCCUUCUCCGUCCCGCGGGGAGCUUCGCGCCACAGCGUCCUUACCGGAAGUGCCUGGGCAGACACUUUUCAUAGCUCCCAGAUCCUGAAGACCCCGGGUCCGACGGACUUGAGCAACCAGUAACAGCCAGCAGGACCUCAGGGAGGAGAGACGUCUCCAGAAUCUCCAGAGCCCCACCCAGCAGCUGUGGACACAGGCUGUCUCUCAGGCCAGACAUGAACAUAUUUGGUAGCUCAGGUAAACUGUAUUUCAGUUCUCCUGCCUCAGGCUCCCAGGCAGCUUAUAUGUUGAAUGACAUACUUGUGGAAAGUCUCCAAGAAACGUCCCUGAGUUUUAUGGGAAAAAAUAAUAACUUUUUCCUUAAGUAACUAAUAAUUAUCUUUCUUUCGGCAUCUUAUAAUCUAAUGUUGUGUCAGGCCAACCCUCCCUCCCAUAUUUAGCAUAUCUUAAUAAGGAUAUGGAAUUUUAAUAAUUUUUUUCUUAAGUGUACAUUUUGUUACACAAAUCAAGUUAAAUAGCACCGUGUCAUGAGAGGACUGGGUUUUAGUCUUAGACCCUCAGACCAAUUUUUGUUGUUGUUGUUUUGAGACAGGGUUUCUCUGUGUAGUCCUGGCUGUCCUGGAAUUUGCUCUGUAUACCAGGCUGGCCUUGAACUCUCAGAGAUCUGCCUGCCUCUGACUUCCGAGUGCUGAGUUUAAAGGCAUGCCUGCCCUCCCCCCGUUUUUGGCUCAGACCAAUUUUAAGAAGAGAAAAAAAUAUGUUAUAUGAAAUGUCUUUUUUUAGCCGGGCAGUGGUGGCACACGCUUUUAAUCCCAGCACUCGGGAGGCAGAGGCAGGUGAAGUUACACAGCGAAACCCUGUCUCGAAAAAACCAAAAAACAAAAAAAAGUAGAAAAAAAAAAGAAAUGUCUUUUUUUUUU